Molecule: ribosomal RNA, 726 nt
Filed under: uncultured bacterium
Lineage: Bacteria
Description: bacterial SSU rRNA
Rfam family: Bacterial small subunit ribosomal RNA
Source: RNAcentral
GGCCGCGGGAAUCCCAUUAAAGCCUAACACAUGCAAGUCGAGCGGUAGAGAGAAUCUUGCUUCUCUUGAGAGCGGCGGACGGGUGAGUAAUGCCUAGGAAUCUGCCUGGUAGUGGGGGAUAACGUUCGGAAACGGACGCUAAUACCGCAUACGUCCUACGGGAGAAAGCAGGGGACCUUCGGGCCUUGCGCUAUCAGAUGAGCCUAGGUCGGAUUAGCUAGUUGGUGAGGUAAUGGCUCACCAAGGCUACGAUCCGUAACUGGUCUGAGAGGAUGAUCAGUCACACUGGAACUGAGACACGGUCCAGACUCCUACGGGAGGCAGCAGUGGGGAAUAUUGGACAAUGGGCUAAAGCCUGAUCCAGCCAUGCCGCGUGUGUGAAGAAGGUCUUCGGAUUGUAAAGCACUUUAAGUUGGGAGGAAGGGCAUUAACCUAAUACGUUAGUGUUUUGACGUUACCGACAGAAUAAGCACCGGCUAACUCUGUGCCAGCAGCCGCGGUAAUACAGAGGGUGCAAGCGUUAAUCGGAAUUACUGGGCGUAAAGCGCGCGUAGGUGGUUUGUUAAGUUGGAUGUGAAAUCCCCGGGCUCAACCUGGGAACUGCAUUCAAAACUGACUGACUAGAGUAUGGUAGAGGGUGGUGGAAUUUCCUGUGUAGCGGUGAAAUGCGUAGAUAUAGGAAGGAACACCAGUGGCGAAGGCGACCACCUGGACUAUACUGACACU